UCAGUUACAGGUGAGAUUUGAACUAUCAAAUGAAAGUUUAACAGAAUGCGAACUUAAAAGAUUCCUGCUUCUUUUGAAUCAACCAGUUAUGUUUUUAACACCUAUUUACUUACCAUUCUGAACAUGUGCAUUAAGAAUGUGCUUCAAGUGUUCUAUUGACCUAACGAAAAAACGUGCUUCCUUACAUACAGGGAGAAAAAGAGAGAGAGAAAAAAAACAGAAGUAUCAUUUAACAGAUGUUUCAAUAUAAAUGGUAACUUUUUACAUAAAUUUCUGCAUAAAGCUACCCAAGAAUGCUGUGAUAAGAACAUAAAAUCAUUAGGUAAGAAGUAAUUUUUCAUAGGAUAGUGUCAAUGGUAUCUUGAAAUUCACAUGAUCUACAUAAUGAUUGAUUCCUAGAAACCCCCAGGUCAUAUAUGCUGACAUCUGGAAUCAAAAUUUUCUGUGGUCUGUAUAUAACAGCAGUAUUUUCUCCAAUACUUGAAUUUCACAAGGAUGUGAAAACAGUGGGUUUACUUCUUUGCAAAUAUCAUUCAUUCAUUAUUCACCAAAUAUUUACUGAGCAACUACUAUAUAUCACGGUGUCUGAGGCGCCAGAGAUACUGCAACGAACAAACAGACCCGAAUCCUCGGGGAACGUAACCACUGAGGCUACGUUCCAGCGAGGGAGCCAAGUAAAUAUGGUGUGUAAAUUAUACAGUAUGUCGGUGAUAUGUGCCAAGGAGGAAAACCAGAGCAGUGAAGGGAAACAAGACCUACUGGAGGGGAUGGCUGAAUUCAACCUUCUAAUUGAGGUAGUUGCUUACAUAGUAAACACUCAAAUAUAGCAUGCGAAACUGAUGAAAUUAUCCGGACCUUUGCUCAGUAACUGUAUGGCCUGUAUAAAGAUUAAAUAUAUCACCUUUGCCAACACAUACCGGUGUUCGAGACUUCCCAAAGGUGGGGCGCCUGGGUGGCUCAGUCGGUUGAGUGUUCAACCUCUUGAUUUUGGCUCAGGUCAUGAUCUCAGGGUCAUGAGACUGAGCCCCUGCAUCGGGCUCUGAGCUAAGUGCAGAGACUGCUUAAGAUUCUCUCUUUCUCUCUCUCUCUCUCUGUUCCUCCCCCUCUCACGCUCUCUCUCAAAAAAAAAAAAAAAAUUUCCCCAAAGUAAUUUCAGUUGUUUUGAUCCUAAUAAAGCUGUGUGCAUAAAAUGGUGGAAGAAGGGUAGGGGUCGGAUGGGGUAAGGAGGGCUAUUUGAUAAGAAAAAAAAAAGACGAGAAAAGCGGCCACUUAUUUGAAAUGUAAACAAUUUCAAUAGACAAUGAUAACAUUAAUCAAAGUGUCAGGCGCUGUGUAUGCACCUUCUCUAUAAAUUGCCACAGCCCUCUGAGGUAGCCCUAGUCCUCAUGUACUUUUAGGAGAAAAGCGAGAACAAAGGGUCCAGAAAUGUUCCCAGAGGUCACACAGCUGUUAAUAGUGGCAAUGGGCUUGACCUCAAUUCUGUGUCUACUCUGCAAGCUGCCUUUGGUUUAUAAUGAAUAAUGUAUAAUGAAUGAUGUAAAAACAGUUGUUUUUUCUUAAUUUUUUUUUUGAUGUGUAUUUAUUUUUGAGAGAGAGAGAGAGAGACAGGGUGAGCUGGGGAGCGGCAGAUAGAGAGACAGACAGAAUCCAAAGCAGGCUCCAGACUCCAAGCUGUCAGCACAGAGCCCAACACGGGCUCGAACUCAUGAACCGUGAGAUCAUGAGCUGAGCCAAAGUCAGUGCUUAACUGACUAAGCCACCCAGGCGCCCCAAAACAGUUUUCUUAAGUAUCACUUUCUUAGACCCGAAUCUGGAAUUAAUUUAUCCAGAUUUUAGAAAUUAUUAUGUCCUUACUGUAGCCUUAACAUUCUUUUUUCAUGUAAGAAAAAUAUUCCAUGUAAGGGGAGAGCCCGAACACAAUUAUCACUCAGACUGCAGAGGAGUCCACAGAAGAGGGUGACUCAAGGGUCAUCAAGACGGUUCGCUGUCCUAAAAUCACUUUUUGGUCAAGGUUUAGUUGAUCAAAGGCCAUUCCUUUGCUUAAAGCACUUUCUUUUCUAAAGCUCUUCCUUAAAUAUGUAAUUGAUUAUGUAUCAAAGACCAUUUUUUUUGGAGGAAGAAUAUGAUUACCAUUAAAGUACUGGUGUGAAUGAGUUCAUCAGUGAGAUGUUUCUUCAAAAGUGCAACCUGAUCCAAGGGCGAUAAGUGUUAAUUUUGCUCUGAGGAGGAUCAUUUCCCGGAGCGCUGACAAGGGGGACCUACGUGAAGGACUUACUGGUAAAGAGGAAUAUCCAUCCUAUGUUUGGACAUCUUACUUGAUCCUGGCAUCAACCCUGAAGGACUGGCACCUUUAUUAAAAAAAAAAGGUGAAGGGAGAAAACAACCGGUCCAGAGAUUCAGUGACUGGCCCGAACCCAGACACUUGUCACAGCCAUUCAUCUGGGAUCCAAAUCCAGGACUCCUGCCCCCAGGACGGGCCCUUCUCCCGUUCUGCUUCUGGACUGUGAAUGUGCCAGGAGAGAAGGUGGCUACCACGAGUGGGAGAAAAGAGUGUCCAAGCAGAGAGGAGAAAGGGCAGCAAGGCUAACCCUGGACUGAGUCAGCCUUGGACGUGACUUUCUUGAUUUUUCUUCUGAGGCAAACGUAAGAGAAGUGACAAACACGGGCUUUCUAAACAAGCAGACACUAGGUGAACGUCAGGAUCUUUAUCCUGGCUUUCAUCACAAGGACUACAAUGUUAAAAAGUUUCCAUUAGGUAGGUGCUGUCUCCUGUAUGAAAUCAAAAGGAAAUAACUCUACUCAUCACAACCUAACCAGGAGUGGGGCAAAACACACUGGCUUUAAAGACAAAGAAACCCAGGCUUAAAUCCGGGCCCAGACCCCAACUUGACAAGGUAUGCCGGGGCAUGGAACAGAACUUCUCUGAGCUCUCGUUUUCUCUAGAGUGGGGAUCGCGACAAUGUCCGCACCACACAGGUUUUCUGUGAAGACUGUAAGAGAUCAUGAAAAAGGCCUAGCACCGCUCCUAGUGUGGAGGCAUUCCAAAGGGGAAAGUCCAGUGUUUCCAUCAUUUCUAUAAAAACCACCAGAAACGCCCACGACAUAAACAUGCAGAUAUACAGGUGCAACGCUCAAAUACACUCCAGCUCACCUUUUCCUCCUUCCAAUAACUUUUUGACAGAAAGCCUCGGUAGGGGCUCAGCCUGCAGCGAUGACACUUUGGAGGUUGGCGUGUUUGCCCUGCUGUGAAGUAGUGUCUGAAGUAUGAGACAGUCCUCCAGCUGUUUCAGCAGGAGCUUCCAGUACUCGGUGUCAAGAGAGAGGGCCUCCCAGGAGUCGGUGAGGGCCUCGGAAUCAGCACCCAAGACUGUUUGGGAAAACUAACAGAAAACACACUGGUGAUACUCUGGCAAAGAAUCUGGAUCGACAUUAACUUGAAUGAGCUUUUAACUUGAAAGCUGAUGACAGACUGUCAGGAUACAUCACAAAGCAGCACACAGAUGCUGGUUCACAAAUGUUACUACUUGACUGGGAUGGGACAGGAGGGACAGGAGGAGACGGCAGACUCUGGGGCAACAGUGAGUUGGACUCACUGCUUCGACAUUUGCAAGAAGAUCUGCAGUAACGCCCGAUUCAUCCAGUGUGUACUUCAACACGUUUGCAGGGCCAUCCUUGACAAGGGCCCCGGUCUCUUCGGUCAGUACCGGGUACUGGUAUCUCUUCAAAAUGCACUCACCAACAUACAAAACGUAUCUCAAACUUCUUCUCUUUCCAUUAUUAUAAACAUCUUAAGCCAGUACUCUUAAAUUUAGCAUAGAAACUAUACUCAGACCGACAGUGUUAAGUGAAUGUCUACAGGCCCAUUUAAGUGACUCAUCCAAUUAAACGCAAUGUCCCCUAGAAAGAAAUUAUUUGAUCUACCAUGAGAUAUGAGAUUUUUAAAAUAAAUUUGAGUGUUCAAGAGAUGAGGAGAAACCACAAAGCAAAACGAUCAAUAGGAAACUUUUAUGUGUCAUUCAACACUACAUCCCCUAAAACAACUUCUGUUUAUAAAAGAGGGGGCAGAGGUUAUAAAUGCAACCGUAGAACUUGAGAGCUACAACAAAGCUCAGAAAUAACGCAGCCUAACCCUGACCUCCUGCAGACGGAACCGAAGCAGGAGACACAUGUUUAAGGGACUUACCACACACGAGGGGGAAGACCUCUGCCCUCCACCUGCAGGACUUUACCCCUCAUGCCAUGAGGUGGCGGCUCAGCUCAAAUACGCAUGUCAUCUGAAUAAACAAGUUAAGGGCAGCACCCCUCACUCCCAGCAAGACAAAUAAGAACCUGCUGGGCACACAUUUCAAACUCCAGAUGUUCCGUAACACUGAAGACACUGCAGCCCCGACACAGGCUGGACAGGGACAGACCCAGCCUAUCCAAACAUGGGGGUACCCCUGCCCACUUACUUUCUUCUCAGUCAGACUGUUCGAGAUCUGUGCGGCAACGGAAUGGCCGACGUGUGCAGACAGCAGGGCGGCCCCGUUGUUCUCAGACUGAACACAAGCCGUCCGCAUCUGCUGCCACCACGGGGACACAGACUGGGAGUCCCAGGUCUCGUCGAUGGCCACUGCAGGCAAAAAGAGAAAGUUAAACAAGAGACUCGGAGCUUGUCGAUUUUUUCUGGUCCAAUCUUUACAGCAAAUGUAAUGCAGAAGCUGAAUUCCCCAGUUAUGCACUGGUAGAUUUCUGAAUGACUCAGAAAACAAAUCCAUAACUUCUCUUAUCAGAAUACUUAUAUCCCAUUUAUUUAGGCUGCCUUUAGUGGUCUUGCUUCUGAAUCAACUGUAAAUCUGUGGAAUAUUUUCAUCAUUGCUGAAAACUACUAUUGAAUUUGUGUUUUUUAAGUUUUAUUUUACUUAUUUUGAGAGAAAGCAAGACUACAAGCAGGGGAGGGGCAGAGAGAGAGGGAGAGAAAGAAGCCCAAGCAGGUUCUGCACUGUCAGCACAGAGCCCAAUGCAGAGCUUGAACUCACGAACCCUGAGAUCCUGACCUGAGCUGAAACCAAGAGUUGGAUACUUAACUGACUGAGCCACCCAGGUGCCCCACUACUACUGAAUGUUUUGAUGUAACGGAUUAUUAUUCUAAUGAGGCCAAAAAUAAUUUAAAAAAUGACCUCCACCAAAGACCAUAUGACUUACCUCAAUGAAUUAAGAAAACGCAUUGUUCAUAUCACAUUACUUUUGAUGACACAAAAUAUAAAUUUCAUUUCCAUAAAGCAUGCUUUGAACUCACUGAGAGCUAUUCAUACAUAAAAGAAUCUCUAGAGAAAUGUUUUGUACACUGUAGUCUCCUUUUAUUUCGAGAAAGCAUCCUCCUUUCCCAGUUUUGUGGUUUUCAAAUGGUAAUUAAUCUUCAUUUGCAAAAGCAGCAGCCUGCAUCUCAGGGCUGGGGAACCACGGUUUCCACCGGCAUCUAUCUUACCUCUCAUCUUGCUCAGGAGGGACAGCAUCGUGUGAAGACAGCACACAGACUGUGGUUUAUCCAAAAUAUCUUUUUCCUUGGAAAGCCAAACACUUAGCAGCAGAGCCUGAAAUCAAAUUUAAAUAAUUUUCAGUAAAAUAAAUAAACAAAAGGUUGCAGUUUUCAAGAGAGCACAUGUGUGUAUAUGAGUGCUUCAGUCCUUCAGAGGGAGAAGGAAGUGGUUGCUUAUUGUAUCACAUAACACGAGGGACAGAAAAGGUACCUUGUCUACUUAAGAGAUUCCCUAUCAUCUGUCAGAUAACUAAAUUCCACCGAUUCCAUCUCUUCUUUGGGUUAAGCAUUGCCUUCCAGGUUGAGCCUUGAUUACGGAGGAUAUUACCAGAAAGGUCACUACCAAGUUAGCAUAGAUCGCCGCGGAUUGGUGAGAAGCCACUCAGCCGACUGGAGGAAAGGAAGGAUCUGGAGCUGUGGACCUUACCCCUCAUUGGCCACGAGGCACUGUGGACUUGGCAAUGGUGAACAGACAUGUACAACUAUCAGAUUCUAGUCUUUAAAUAAGGCAUGAGAAACAGACUUUAAGCAAAAACACCUAAAUCAACAUAAGUGACUUUUAAGAUGCCUAUGAACCAGCAUACCUACUGAAAACUCAAGUAUUUGAAGGUGUAUAAAAUUUGUACACAGAUAAUUCUGAGAUAAUGAGAAGUUCAAAGGCACAGCACCACACCUGUCGGUACUGGUAUUUGCGGAAAGCCUGGACCUUCAUGUAAAAAAAAAAAAAAAAAAAAAAAAAGCCUUGAAAAUAAAAGGUUGAUUAUCACUUUAAAUAUAUUAGUACAAGUAAUUCUCAAAAAUUCAGAAGAGUAGGAAGUUGAAGAAGUGUGUGAAGGAAAUUAACCUAUGAGAACGACCUAAGGGCCAGGAGAGGGAAGUACCUGCCAGGCAUCACCCCGUUCAAUUCCAACAACCCUGUGGCAGGGAUAGUCUCCCACAUUGUACAUAUGACGAAAAGUAACUUACCGGUACCAUAUAGCUAAUGAGUUAGGCCUAAAGUCUGAACCUAGAUCUGCUGGAUUCUAACACGCAUGUUUUCUUUUCUCUUUAAAAAAUUAUACAUGUGCACAGGCAUGUACAUGCACAAAUAAACUUACAUGUUACAUAUUUUUUACAAAUAAAAAAUACACACUUUUAAAAGUA
Molecule: long non-coding RNA, 6661 nt
Organism: Acinonyx jubatus (cheetah)
Lineage: Eukaryota; Metazoa; Chordata; Mammalia; Carnivora; Felidae
Exons: 2
Source: RefSeq, a predicted model, not a curated record